UACGUAGGGUGCGAGCGUUAAUCGGAAUUACUGGGCGUAAAGCGUGCGCAGGCGGUUCGUGAUGUCUGAUGUGAAAGCCCCGGGCUCAACCUGGGAACUGCAUUGGAAACUAGCGGGCUCGAGUGUGGCAGAGGGGGGUGGAAUUCCACGUGUAGCAGUGAAAUGCGUAGAGAUGUGGAGGAACACCGAUGGCGAAGGCAGCCCCCUGGGCUAACACUGACGCUCAUGCACGAAAGCGUGGGGAGCAAACAGG
This 253-nucleotide ribosomal RNA is filed under the name uncultured bacterium. RNAcentral's name for it is "partial 16S ribosomal RNA". It matches the Rfam family "Bacterial small subunit ribosomal RNA", at positions 524 to 776 of the family's 1533-position model. The record is from RNAcentral.